UACAUGGGGUGCAAACGUUGCUCGGAAUUAUUGGGCGUAAAGCGCACGUAGGCGGUUCGUUAAGUCGGAUGUGAAAGCCCUCGGCUCAACUGAGGAAGUGCACCCGAAACUGGCGAGCUUGAGUACGAAAGAGGAUCGCGGAAUUCCCGGUGUAGAGGUGAAAUUCGUAGAUAUCAGGAGGAACACCGGUGGCGAAGGCGGGUCUCUGGGCCGAUACUGACGCUGGAGGAGCGAAAGCGUGGGGAGCGAACAGG
Molecule: ribosomal RNA, 254 nt
Filed under: uncultured bacterium
Lineage: Bacteria
Description: partial 16S ribosomal RNA
Rfam family: Bacterial small subunit ribosomal RNA
Source: RNAcentral